UUCAGAUUUACUGACGGGUCGCUGCAAAACCCUAAACUGUACUCAGCAUUCAGGAUGAAAAUAUAAGCAACUACAGCACCGCAGAGCUGCAUCACUAAACAUAUGUCUGAGAACUGUUCCCCUCCUGGCUGGAUGCACCCAAGUCCCAACCCCAUUUCUACAAGGAUGGCAGUGCCUGCAGAAUCAAGAUCCUCAAACAAUGAAGGUCCAUCAGGAAGAAUAAUCUUCAGCCUUGCUGGAAACAAGAGCAGAGGGCGCCCCAAGGAUUGACAAGCAAGGCAGCAAUUUUUUUUACCAGUUUGAAUAAUGAAGAAAAUAAAUAUUUUGAACCUUUUAUUGUAAUCAAUAUACAAAGACCUGAGCCUUUUUAUACAGCACCCGUCAGUGGAACAACCUAUUUAAGGACUACUGUAGCUGAACAAAUUACAAAUGCUGCAAUGUAAAUUAAUUUGAUUUCCUAUAUAAGCACUUUUACAUUUGCAUACUCAUAAAUGAACAUUUCUUAACAUUAUUAUCUUGGGAAUGUUGCAACUGUAAUAAAACUCAUCUUCAUUUUAAUGUAUCUUCAAUUGGCAGCUUCAGAAAGGUGUCAUGUUGACAGUCCAGUGUUUUUUAAAAGCAGUAUUUCUGCUGCUUUGUUCCAAAGCAAAAAUACAAGAAUCCUGUGUUGAACUGCUUAUGAAUAAAGAUGUGCCUUUUUAUUAGACACAUUGCAAGACACGAUAAAAGAUAGCUAUGAAGUUUUUUGUGUAAUACAGUGCCUGAGAAUGACAAAAUGAAUUUGUCAGUGUUUCUCUGUGAUUGAUAUUUUAAUAAUAGAAACAUUUCACUAAAGCACUUUAACAGUUUGUAUAUAUUUUACAUAGUAAGUAGACCUAUACAUGAACAUUGCUAUACUUGUAAAUGAAGAUAAACUCUAAAUCUGGAGGCAAUGGUGAGGUUUAUAGGCAUUAAAUCUAAACAAGAUACAUAUGGUUCAAUCUAACCUUUAUCUGUCUAGCUGAAGAAUACCACACAAGGAAAAUUGCCAUAACGUGGAAAUGACUGCUAUUUUAUGAAAAAAGGUCUUGUACAAUUUUAACUAUCUACCAUAUUUCAUGUCAUCUGCUUCAUGCCUUUUUUGAUCAUCACAAAAUUCAUAUGCCUGGUGUGGCAGUAAAGUGCCAUCAUACCAUCAAAAACCUAUUGAAAGGUAUAAAAAUAUUCCCAGGGGAGAGCAUCAGUUAAGUGUGCUGCUAGGCAGACUUACAGCAUGGAUUUCAGAAGAAAACAGAUUACCAGAACAAGACUCCUGCAAGACCAACUUUUACAAAAUCAGAACUAUUUUUCUUACAAAUUAUGUGGCUGACUUCUUCCUUAACUAAGGGCUAUAACUUGACAACAGAUUACUUGUGGCAUCGGCAUUUUGUAGUUUUCUGCACAGCGUAAAUCAAUAUAUUAUCUUGUUUUCUAAGAUACACUGCUGCUUUAUAAUUAAAAUUGGCUGAAACAGAAUGUGCAGGGUAUAUGGCAAUGUGAGAUAAUACUGAUGUGGUAUGUUAUUGAAACGUUUCUUGAACUUUAAUGCAUUUGGACUUGCAAAAAGGUACUCAAACAGCAUUACAUGGCUGAUCAGUCUUUAACAUCAUAGACUACCCACAGUUACUCAGCAUGUAGUCAAUUGUAUACUAACAACAGUGUACAUCAUAUUGGGUACCACACUAUAUCAUCAUUGUGUGGAGUAACAGUGUUUUAAUAAACUUUAUUUUUAA
Protopterus annectens (West African lungfish) is the source of this 1751-nucleotide long non-coding RNA. RefSeq lists it as uncharacterized. The record is from RefSeq and is a predicted model, not a curated record. The transcript is spliced from 4 exons. Lineage: Eukaryota; Metazoa; Chordata; Ceratodontiformes; Protopteridae.